RNAcentral lists this long non-coding RNA (215 nucleotides) under Sorghum bicolor (sorghum). RNAcentral's name for it is "long non-coding RNA (SBIC_LNC000456)". The record is from RNAcentral. Lineage: Eukaryota; Viridiplantae; Streptophyta; Magnoliopsida; Poales; Poaceae.
CACCUCCUUUUCUUUCUUCUUCUCUUCUUCUUUCUUUGCUGCCCUUCUUUUGGCUCGCUCUUCUCGUUUGGCUUUUCUUUCUUCUUUUCUCUUUUUCUUGGCAGCUAGCUUUUCAUCUUCUUUUCUUUUUGCUUUAGCUUCUCUUCUUGCUUGCCUUCUCUCGGGGUCGGUAGUCAUACCACCAUCAGGCUUGAGGGUGGAGUUGCUGGCUGUUG